GGCUGCUGUGACGACUCAGGAAUAUUCAAGCUCAACAGACCGGAUUGCAGGUCUCUCUUUGUCGAGGGAUUUGUAUGUCGACUAUCCCGCUGACCCGAGCAUUC
Molecule: non-coding RNA, 104 nt
Organism: Musa acuminata subsp. malaccensis (wild Malaysian banana)
Lineage: Eukaryota; Viridiplantae; Streptophyta; Magnoliopsida; Zingiberales; Musaceae
Source: Rfam